GGAUGCGAUCAUACCAUGCACUAAUGCACCGGAUCAUCAGAACUCUGAAGUGAAGCUGUGCUUGGCGAGCUGUAGUACUAGGAUGGGUGACCCCCUGGCGAAGUCAUCGUGUUGCCAUUC
RNAcentral lists this ribosomal RNA (120 nucleotides) under Ipomoea nil (Japanese morning glory). Lineage: Eukaryota; Viridiplantae; Streptophyta; Magnoliopsida; Solanales; Convolvulaceae. The record is from RNAcentral.